UAUGACAAAGCAAAACAAAGGAUUGAAGAAUGGAGACUUAAACAUAGUAAAAAUGUAAAUACUGGAAAGCUAAGAGCCCCUAUUAUCUGCAUACUUGGGCAUGUGGAUACAGGGAAGACAAAAAUUCUAGAUGAACUCCAUCACACUCAUACAAAAUGGUGAAGGAGGUGGGAUCACACAACAAAUUGAAACUGCCAAUAUUCCUUUUGAAGCUAUUAAUGAAUAGACUAAGAUGUUUAAAAAUUUUGAUAGAAUGAACGGAUUCCAGGAAUGCUAAUUAUUGAUACUCCUAGGCAUGCAUCUUUCAGUAAUCUGAGAAAUAGAGGAAGUUCUCUUUGUGACAUUGCUAUUUUAGUUAUUGAUAUUAUGUAUGGUUUGGAGCCCCAGACGAUUGAGUCUAUCAACCUUCUCAAAUCUAAAAAAUGUCCCUUCAUUGUUGCACUCAAUAAGAUUGAUAGGUUAUAUAUGAUUGGAAAAAAAGUCCUAAUUCUGAUGUGCCUGCUGCUUUAAAUAAGCAGAAAAAAAAUACAAAAAAUGAAUUUGAGAAGCAAGCAAAGGCUAUUAUUGCAGAAUUUGCACAGCAGGGUUUGAAUAUUGUUUUGUUUUAUAGAAUAAGGAUCCCCGCACUUUUGUGUCUUUGGUACCUACGUCUGCACAUACUGGUGAUGACAUGGAAAGUCUGACCUGCCUUCCCUUUGAGUUAACUCAAACCAUGUUGAGCAAGAGACUUGUGCACUGUGAAGAGCUGAGAGCACAGGUGAUGUAGGUUAAAGCCCUCCCAGGGAUGGGCACCACUGCAGAUGUCAUCUUGAUCAAUGGGCAUUUGAAGGAAGGAGAUACAGUCACUGUCCCUGGAGUAGAAGGGCCCAUUGUAACUCAGAUUCGAGGCCUCCUGUUACCUCCUCCUAUGAAGGAAUUAUGAGUGAAGAACCAGCAUAAAAAAGUAAAAGCAGUUCAGGGGGUAAAGAUUCUUGGAAACGACCUGGAGAAAACACUGGCUGGUUUACCCCUCCUCAUGGCUUAUAAGGAAGAAGAAAUCCCUGUUGUUUUGUUUCGUUUUUUUGAGAUGGAGUUUCCCUCUUAUUACCCAGGCUGGCAUGCAAUGGCACGAAAUCGGCUCACCGCAAUCUCCGCCUCCUGGGUUCAAGCGAUUCUCUUGCCUCAGCCUCCCGAGUAGCUGGGAUUACAAGUGCCUGCCACUACAUCCAGCUAAUUUUUUUUUUUUUUGAGAUAGAGUCUUGUUCUCUCGGCAGAUUGGAGUGCAGUGGCUGGAUCUUGGCUAAGUGCAACCUCCACCUCCUGGGUUCAGGAGAUUCCCCUACCUCAGCCUCCUGAGUAGCUGGGACUACAGGCUUGCACCACCAUAUUCAGUUAAUUUUUUGUGUUUUAGUAGAGACGGGAUUUUACCAUGUUGGCCAGGAUGGUUUCGGUCUCCUGACAUUGUGAUCUGCCCACCUUGGUCUCCCAAAGUGCUGGGAUUAGAGGUAUGAGCCACCACACCCAGCCUAAUUUUGUAUUUUUAGUAGAGACAGGGUUUCUCCAUGUUGGUCAAGGUGGUCUCAAAUACCUGACCUCAGGUGAUGCACCCGCCUCGGCCUCCCAAAGUGCUGGAAUUAUAGGCAUGAGCCACUGCACCCAAUUGAAAUCCUUGUUCUUAAAGAUGAAUUGAUCCAUGAGUUAAAGCAGACAGUAAAUAGUAUCAAAGUAGAAGAAAAAGGAGUCUAUGUCCAGUCAUCUACACUGGGUUUUUUGGAAACUCUACUUGAAUUUCUGAAAAAUCAGAGUGCCCUAUGCAGGAAUUAACAUUGACCCAGCACAUAAAAAAAUAUGUUAUGAGGACUUCCGUGAUGUUGGAACAUGACCCUCAGUAUGCAGUAAUUUUGGCCUUUGAUGUGAGAAUUGAACGAGAUACAUAAGAAAUGGCUGAUCAUUUAGGAGUUAGAAUUUUUAGUGCAGAAAUUAUUUAUCAUUUAUUUGAUGCCUUUACAAAAUAUAGA
Molecule: non-coding RNA, 1997 nt
Organism: Callithrix jacchus (white-tufted-ear marmoset)
Lineage: Eukaryota; Metazoa; Chordata; Mammalia; Primates; Cebidae
Source: RefSeq, a predicted model, not a curated record